This 497-nucleotide ribosomal RNA is filed under the name uncultured bacterium. RNAcentral describes it as "partial 16S ribosomal RNA". It matches the Rfam family "Bacterial small subunit ribosomal RNA", at positions 28 to 507 of the family's 1533-position model. The record is from RNAcentral.
GACGAACGCUGGCGGCGUGCCUAAUACAUGCAAGUUGAGCGCUGAAGGUUGGUACUUGUACCAACUGGAUGAGCAGCGAACGGGUGAGUAACGCGUGGGGAAUCUGCCUUUGAGCGGGGGACAACAUUUGGAAACGAAUGCUAAUACCGCAUAAAAACUUUAAACACAAGUUUUAAGUUUGAAAGAUGCAAUUGCAUCACUCAAAGAUGAUCCCGCGUUGUAUUAGCUAGUUGGUGAGGUAAAGGCUCACCAAGGCGAUGAUACAUAGCCGACCUGAGAGGGUGAUCGGCCACAUUGGGACUGAGACACGGCCCAAACUCCUACGGGAGGCAGCAGUAGGGAAUCUUCGGCAAUGGACGAAAGUCCGACCGAGCAACGCCGCGUGAGUGAAGAAGGUUUUCGGAUCGUAAAACUCUUUUGGUAGAGAAGAACGUUGGUGAGAGUGGAAAGCUCAUCAAGUGACGGUAACUAACCAGAAAGGGACGGCUAACUACGUG